GGAGGUUAGAGAAGAGGGGGGAGGUGAAAGGAGGGGGUUCACAGCCGGGAAGGUGAGAGACAGCGAUGCUCUCUCCUGUGGCCUGGAGCAAAAACCUUUGUCCCUCAGGGAGCUGGAAGAAGCUGUGAGCAUAGGAAGGUGACCCACAGGGGACCGGGAAUGCCAUGGGUUUAACUAACAGAUUCCCCCGGCUGAACCCCUGCGCUGGGCCGAAUUUAGCAGCAGAAGAGAUAACCAAGAGAUAAGGACUGAUACCCUGGGAGGACAGCGGGAGACGGGCAGGCGGCCGAGGAAAGGGAGAGAAGCCGGAGGCAGCGUUGGGAAGGGGUAAGGAUGGAAGCGAGCCGGGAAGAAGGGGGUUUAAGGGAGCUCCGUGUCCCCCUGAAACUCAGGGGAUGGUUGGUGUGUAACCGGCCUAGAACGGAGCGUUUCCUCGGGAAUCUCCACAGGAGGCGGAAAAGGAGCGAGCUCCCCUCCUGCUUUACAAACAGGAACGGUGAUAAUAAAAAAAUCAACCAAAACCCCAUCAAAAUCGAGUUCGUUUUCAAG
Molecule: long non-coding RNA, 549 nt
Organism: Manacus vitellinus (golden-collared manakin)
Lineage: Eukaryota; Metazoa; Chordata; Aves; Passeriformes; Pipridae
Exons: 3
Source: RefSeq, a predicted model, not a curated record